This 1402-nucleotide ribosomal RNA is filed under the name Lactiplantibacillus pentosus. RNAcentral describes it as "bacterial SSU rRNA". It matches the Rfam family "Bacterial small subunit ribosomal RNA", at positions 63 to 1435 of the family's 1533-position model. RNAcentral also lists the same sequence under 1 other name. Lineage: Bacteria; Bacillati; Bacillota; Bacilli; Lactobacillales; Lactobacillaceae. The record is from RNAcentral.
CGAACUCUGGUAUUGAUUGGUGCUUGCAUCAUGAUUUACAUUUGAGUGAGUGGCGAACUGGUGAGUAACACGUGGGAAACCUGCCCAGAAGCGGGGGAUAACACCUGGAAACAGAUGCUAAUACCGCAUAACAACUUGGACCGCAUGGUCCGAGUUUGAAAGAUGGCUUCGGCUAUCACUUUUGGAUGGUCCCGCGGCGUAUUAGCUAGAUGGUGGGGUAACGGCUCACCAUGGCAAUGAUACGUAGCCGACCUGAGAGGGUAAUCGGCCACAUUGGGACUGAGACACGGCCCAAACUCCUACGGGAGGCAGCAGUAGGGAAUCUUCCACAAUGGACGAAAGUCUGAUGGAGCAACGCCGCGUGAGUGAAGAAGGGUUUCGGCUCGUAAAACUCUGUUGUUAAAGAAGAACAUAUCUGAGAGUAACUGUUCAGGUAUUGACGGUAUUUAACCAGAAAGCCACGGCUAACUACGUGCCAGCAGCCGCGGUAAUACGUAGGUGGCAAGCGUUGUCCGGAUUUAUUGGGCGUAAAGCGAGCGCAGGCGGUUUUUUAAGUCUGAUGUGAAAGCCUUCGGCUCAACCGAAGAAGUGCAUCGGAAACUGGGAAACUUGAGUGCAGAAGAGGACAGUGGAACUCCAUGUGUAGCGGUGAAAUGCGUAGAUAUAUGGAAGAACACCAGUGGCGAAGGCGGCUGUCUGGUCUGUAACUGACGCUGAGGCUCGAAAGUAUGGGUAGCAAACAGGAUUAGAUACCCUGGUAGUCCAUACCGUAAACGAUGAAUGCUAAGUGUUGGAGGGUUUCCGCCCUUCAGUGCUGCAGCUAACGCAUUAAGCAUUCCGCCUGGGGAGUACGGCCGCAAGGCUGAAACUCAAAGGAAUUGACGGGGGCCCGCACAAGCGGUGGAGCAUGUGGUUUAAUUCGAAGCUACGCGAAGAACCUUACCAGGUCUUGACAUACUAUGCAAAUCUAAGAGAUUAGACGUUCCCUUCGGGGACAUGGAUACAGGUGGUGCAUGGUUGUCGUCAGCUCGUGUCGUGAGAUGUUGGGUUAAGUCCCGCAACGAGCGCAACCCUUAUUAUCAGUUGCCAGCAUUAAGUUGGGCACUCUGGUGAGACUGCCGGUGACAAACCGGAGGAAGGUGGGGAUGACGUCAAAUCAUCAUGCCCCUUAUGACCUGGGCUACACACGUGCUACAAUGGAUGGUACAACGAGUUGCGAACUCGCGAGAGUAAGCUAAUCUCUUAAAGCCAUUCUCAGUUCGGAUUGUAGGCUGCAACUCGCCUACAUGAAGUCGGAAUCGCUAGUAAUCGCGGAUCAGCAUGCCGCGGUGAAUACGUUCCCGGGCCUUGUACACACCGCCCGUCACACCAUGAGAGUUUGUAACACCCAAAGUCGGUGGGG